UCCUACGGGAGGCAGCAGUGGGGAAUUUUGGACAAUGGGGGCAACCCUGAUCCAGCAAUGCCGCGUGUGUGAAGAAGGCCUUCGGGUUGUAAAGCACUUUUGUCCGGGAAGAAAUCGCACCUGAUAAUACCGGGUGUGGAUGACGGUACCGGAAGAAUAAGGACCGGCUAACUACGUGCCAGCAGCCGCGGUAAUACGUAGGGUCCAAGCGUUAAUCGGAAUUACUGGGCGUAAAGCGUGCGCAGGCGGUUGUGCAAGACCGAUGUGAAAUCCCCGGGCUUAACCUGGGAAUUGCAUUGGUGACUGCACGGCUAGAGUGUGUCAGAGGGGGGUAGAAUUCCACGUGUAGCAGUGAAAUGCGUAGAGAUGUGGAGGAAUACCGAUGGCGAAGGCAGCCCCCUGGGAUAACACUGACGCUCAUGCACGAAAGCGUGGGGAGCAAACAGGAUUAGAUACCCUGGUAGUCCACGCCCUAAACGAUGUCAACUAGUUGUUGGGGAUUCAUUUCCUUAGUAACGUAGCUAACGCGU
RNAcentral lists this ribosomal RNA (530 nucleotides) under uncultured Burkholderiaceae bacterium. Its description in RNAcentral is "bacterial SSU rRNA". It matches the Rfam family "Bacterial small subunit ribosomal RNA", at positions 337 to 860 of the family's 1533-position model. Lineage: Bacteria; Pseudomonadati; Pseudomonadota; Betaproteobacteria; Burkholderiales; Burkholderiaceae. The record is from RNAcentral.